RNAcentral lists this long non-coding RNA (642 nucleotides) under Trifolium pratense (red clover). RNAcentral describes it as "long non-coding RNA (TPRA_LNC008442)". The record is from RNAcentral. Lineage: Eukaryota; Viridiplantae; Streptophyta; Magnoliopsida; Fabales; Fabaceae.
CCCCACUCUAUGGUUUAAAACUUUAAAUAUCCCCACGUUCUAUUAUAAAAAAAAUUCAAUGAUAAGUGUGAGUAUUAGAAUAGUACUCAUUCUAAUAAAAAAGAACAGUAAUAUAAGUCAACUCAAUACCCACUUCUCUCAUUAUUGUAUAUGGGCUGUGCUUAAAAAAUAAUAUAUGGGCCUAAAAAAAAGAACCCAAUGGCCUUGAAAUAAAACCACCAAUUGAGACAAGUCAUACAACCCUAAUAAUCAUUAUUAUUCUUGUAGCCGCCUACCACUUCUUCUGGUCCAUCAGUUUUCUUCUUCACUUUUCUCUUCCCUGUUUCUACUUCUGUUCCCAUAACAUACAUUAUUAUACUUAUGAGAAGUAAUAAAAUCAUCAUGAAACAAAGAGAAUUUUGACUCUAAAAUUACAAGAUUAAUCUAUGUUACAGUUUUAAUCUUCACUUUCUUUGUUUCUAUUUAAUUUCUUCUAGAUCUGUUCAGUUUCAUAUAUUGUUCUUUUUUUAGAAAACUGAAAAAUUCUUCUAAAUCUUCACUUCCUUUGUUCAUUUUCUAUUUAAUUUCUUCUCCAUGUUUUGACCGUAAAAAUGUUUGGGUUAUACUUUUUUUUUUUUUUUUUUAAAUAUGCAUUUAAACCGG